GCUAAUUGGUUCCUAGGCCCGGCUUUCUGUUUGGGGGCCAUUCUUAAUUUCUAGUUGAAUCCAGAUGUUGAACGGUCCUUGAAGUUCUAUUCCAGGGCUCCCAGGCAGCAGAAUCUGCCCACAGAGUUCGGAGUGAUAGAUUCGUGUGGCCUUUCAAAUGAUUGUGAAGUGGUGGAAAUGGAUCCAAAAUAAUAAGUGACUUCUCUACCAAAGCAUAGAAGAUUCUUCAUAUCUCCUUCCAGUGGCUCAAUUUAGAUUUUGGGAAGGAGCAGAACAAGUGAAACACAGAAAACUGAAGAGAAGAAAUCCUCAUUUUGGACCUAUAUUUCUCCUUGACUAUUUCUUAAUAUCCAUCCUACCCAUCGUUCUAAUGUUUUAACUUUGCUCUGAAUUUAUAAAUAGUAAAGGCCAAAGACAUAGAAUAUACAUUUAGUAGCUUUAUACCAAGAAAUUUGCCUUGAAAGCUGCUGUUCGUGGAGGGAAAAGUGUAGCAAAUUCCUGUCUAUUUUUAUUUUUUAUUUUUUUUUAACAAAGACAAGAUUUAUGUCCCUAGAUUUUG
RNAcentral lists this long non-coding RNA (559 nucleotides) under Homo sapiens (human). Its description in RNAcentral is "non-protein coding lnc-GPBP1L1-1:5". Lineage: Eukaryota; Metazoa; Chordata; Mammalia; Primates; Hominidae. The record is from RNAcentral.